Molecule: ribosomal RNA, 253 nt
Filed under: uncultured bacterium
Lineage: Bacteria
Description: partial 16S ribosomal RNA
Rfam family: Bacterial small subunit ribosomal RNA
Source: RNAcentral
UACGUAGGGUGCAGGCGUUAAUCGGAAUUACUGGGCGUAAAGCGUGCGCAGGCGGCCUCUUAAGUCAGAUGUGAAAUCCCCGGGCUUAACCUGGGAACUGCGUUUGAAACUGGGAGGCUAGAGUGUGGAAGAGGGGGGUGGAAUUCCAGGUGUAGCGGUGAAAUGCGCAGAUAUCAGGAGGAACACCGGUGGCGAAGGCGGAUCUCUGGGCCUUACCUGACGCUCAGGCGCGAAAGCUAGGGGAGCGAACAGG